UCGAACAGACUUCCUUAAUUUAUUAUUGCAUGAAAAAGGUAUCUUAAUCCAACAUCGAGGUCACAAACUUUCUUGAUGAUGAGAACUCUUUAAGAAAAUUAUGCUGUUAUCCCUAUAGUAACUUAUUCCUUUUUAAAAACUUUUUGAUUUUUCAAGAAUUGUAUUCAUAGUUUUAAAAUAAAAUUUAUUUUAUUUACUGCCCCAGUAGAAUAAUUUUUUAUUUAUAUUGAUGUUAAAUUACAAUUAUAAAGCUUAAUAGGGUCUUCUUGUCUUUAAUGUUAAUUUUAGCUUUUUUACUAAAAUAUAAAAUUUGAAGUAUAAUAAUAAGACAGGAUUAUUCAGUUAAGCCAUUCAUUC
RNAcentral lists this ribosomal RNA (357 nucleotides) under Euscorpius balearicus. RNAcentral describes it as "partial 16S ribosomal RNA". The record is from RNAcentral. Lineage: Eukaryota; Metazoa; Arthropoda; Arachnida; Scorpiones; Euscorpiidae.